AGGCGACGACGGGUAGCCGGCCUGAGAGGGUGACCGGCCACACUGGGACUGAGACACGGCCCAGACUCCUACGGGAGGCAGCAGUGGGGAAUAUUGCACAAUGGGCGCAAGCCUGAUGCAGCGACGCCGCGUGAGGGAUGACGGCCUUCGGGUUGUAAACCUCUUUCAGUAGGGAAGAAGCGAAAGUGACGGUACCUGCAGAAGAAGCGCCGGCUAACUACGUGCCAGCAGCCGCGGUAAUACGUAGGGCGCAAGCGUUAUCCGGAAUUAUUGGGCGUAAAGAGCUCGUAGGCGGUUUGUCGCGUCUGCCGUGAAAGUCCGGGGCUCAACUCCGGAUCUGCGGUGGGUACGGGCAGACUAGAGUGAUGUAGGGGAGACUGGAAUUCCUGGUGUAGCGGUGAAAUGCGCAGAUAUCAGGAGGAACACCGAUGGCGAAGGCAGGUCUCUGGGCAUUAACUGACGCUGAGGAGCGAAAGCAUGGGGAGCGAACAGGAUUAGAUACCCUGGUAGUCCAUGCCGUAAACGUUGGGCACUAGGUGUGGGGGACAUUCCACGUUUUCCGCGCCGUAGCUAACGCAUUAAGUGCCCCGCCUGGGGAGUACGG
RNAcentral lists this ribosomal RNA (604 nucleotides) under Arthrobacter sp. CMT820. RNAcentral's name for it is "bacterial SSU rRNA". It matches the Rfam family "Bacterial small subunit ribosomal RNA", at positions 271 to 885 of the family's 1533-position model. Lineage: Bacteria; Bacillati; Actinomycetota; Actinomycetes; Micrococcales; Micrococcaceae. The record is from RNAcentral. RNAcentral also lists the same sequence under 1 other name.